RNAcentral lists this ribosomal RNA (497 nucleotides) under uncultured bacterium. RNAcentral's name for it is "bacterial SSU rRNA". It matches the Rfam family "Bacterial small subunit ribosomal RNA", at positions 30 to 520 of the family's 1533-position model. The record is from RNAcentral.
AUUGAACGCUGGCGGCAUGCUUUACACAUGCAAGUCGAACGGUAACAGGGACUUCGGUCUGCUGACGAGUGGCGAACGGGUGAGUAACAUAUCGGAACGUGCCCAGUAAUGGGGGAUAGCUCGGCGAAAGCCGGAUUAAUACCGCAUACGCCCUGAGGGGGAAAGUGGGGGAUCUUCGGACCUCACGUUAUUGGAGCGGCCGAUAUCGGAUUAGCUAGUUGGUGGGGUAAAGGCCUACCAAGGCGACGAUCCGUAGCUGGUCUGAGAGGAUGAUCAGCCACACUGGGACUGAGACACGGCCCAGACUCCUACGGGAGGCAGCAGUGGGGAAUAUUGGACAAUGGGCGAAAGCCUGAUCCAGCAAUGCCGCGUGUGUGAAGAAGGCCUGAGGGUUGUAAAGCACUUUCAAUCGUGAAGAAAAGUUGCAGGCUAAUACCCUGUGACCUUGACGUUAACGAUACAAGAAGCACCGGCUAACUCCGUGCCAGCAGCCGCGG